AACGAACGCUGGCGGCAUGCCUAACACAUGCAAGUCGAGCGCCGUAGCAAUACGGAGCGGCGCACGGGUGAGUAACGCGUGGGAACCUGCCCAGAGGUUCGGGACAACCGCGGGAAACUGCGGCUGAUACCGGAUGAUACCUGAGGGUCAAAGAUUUAUCGCCUUUGGAGGGGCCCGCGUCAGAUUAGGUAGUUGGUGGGGUAACGGCCUACCAAGCCUGGGAUCUGUAGCUGGUCUGAGAGGAUGACCAGCCACACUGGGACUGAGACACGGCCCAGACUCCUACGGGAGGCAGCAGUGGGGAGUAUUGGACAAUGGGGGCAACCCUGAUCCAGCAAUGCCGCGUGGGUGAUGAAGGCCUUCGGGUUGUAAAGCCCUUUCGGCGGGGACGAUGAUGACGGUACCCGCAGAAGAAGCCCCGGCUAACUUCGUGCCAGCCGCCGCAGUAA
This 449-nucleotide ribosomal RNA is filed under the name uncultured bacterium. Its description in RNAcentral is "partial 16S ribosomal RNA". It matches the Rfam family "Bacterial small subunit ribosomal RNA", at positions 28 to 523 of the family's 1533-position model. The record is from RNAcentral.